This 331-nucleotide unclassified non-coding RNA is filed under the name soil metagenome. RNAcentral describes it as "partial contains 5.8S ribosomal RNA, internal transcribed spacer 2, and large subunit ribosomal RNA". The stretch from base 1 to 120 matches the Rfam family "5.8S ribosomal RNA", at positions 35 to 154 of the family's 154-position model. The record is from RNAcentral.
GAUGAAGAACGCAGCGAAAUGCGAUAAGUAAUGUGAAUUGCAGAAUUCAGUGAAUCAUCGAAUCUUUGAACGCACAUUGCGCCCCCUGGUAUUCCGGGGGGCAUGCCUGUUCGAGCGUCAUUUCACCACUCAAGCCUCGCUUGGUAUUGGGCAACGCGGUCCGCCGCGUGCCUCAAAUCGACCGGCUGGGUCUUCUGUCCCCUAAGCGUUGUGGAAACUAUUCGCUAAAGGGUGUUCGGGAGGCUACGCCGUAAAACAACCCCAUUUCUAAGGUUGACCCCGGAUCAGGUAGGGAUACCCGCUGAACUUAAGCAUAUCAAUAAGCGGAGGA